CCCAUAUGGAAAUAUAGUGUCACUAAUAUAUUCACCUAUUAUUAAUUUCUAAUAUAUGGUGUGCCAAAGUCACUAUUGUCACUUAAAAAAUGUUAAAAUUGAUUUGUCAAAGUCAUGUGGUCACUACAGGGUUAAAUUAAUGAUGCAUGCACGCAGCACGUUAUUCACAUGUUGGCCAGUAGAGGUCGCAUGCACCUUUGUCAUUCCCGGCAUUCCUUCACUGAACGUCACAGUGAAGGCACGAGUCAUAUCGUUGCGUUGCAAAGACAAAGUUUUAUACGUUAAAAUACUUGUCAAUUUUCAAACCGAGUGUUGGAAAAGCAGCAUAAGAUAGCCUGGUCCCAGUGGGAGCUGGAUUGCUGUGUUUUGUGCUGCUGAGAACUCCAAUUGUUUUUUUGUAUGAUCCUGAAGUCUGGUUCCAAGCUGGACUUGAGUUAAGAUGGCGAGCCAGUCCCAGUGAGUGAGAGUCUGCGGAGAGGGAGCGUUUGGAUGUGGUGUGGCCAGCUGCAUCGGUCUCCACACUCUGCAGUGAUCUAUAACUGAACUGAUCCACCAUCAGAGUCGCAAGUAUCGAACCGAAUCAGUAUGGAAUAACGGAUUACAAUAGAACUAAGGAUUCCCAACCAAGGAAUAUAGACAGUGUUCAAUUCAUUACUACCCGGGUAGAUUGUAUUUUUUGAAAGGACAAUUUAAAAAGGACAUUUCUUCUAUUUUGCUACUUUUGAAUUUUGCAACAGAGCUCUAUUUUUAUUUUAUUUUUGGGGGGUAUUUUCAAUUUAAAAAGCACACUGUUCAUGUGUUAUCGUUUAUUAUUGUGCAAUAAAUUUGCCAGCAGUUGUUCUGUGGUCCACUAA
Non-coding RNA from Nerophis lumbriciformis (worm pipefish), 854 nucleotides. NCBI's taxonomy places the organism in Eukaryota, Metazoa, Chordata, Actinopteri, Syngnathiformes, Syngnathidae. The record is from RefSeq and is a predicted model, not a curated record.